AUUGAACGCUGGCGGCAUGCCUUACACAUGCAAGUCGAGCGGCAGCGCGGGGGCAACCCUGGCGGCGAGCGGCGAACGGGUGAGUAAUACAUCGGAACGUGUCCUCUUGUGGGGGAUAACCAGUCGAAAGACUGGCUAAUACCGCAUGAGAUCGAGAGAUGAAAGCGGGGGACCGCAAGGCCUCGCGCGAGAGGAGCGGCCGAUGUCCGAUUAGCAGUUGGCGGGGUAACGGCCCACCAAGGCGACGAUCGGUAGCUGGUCUGAGAGGACGACCAGCCACACUGGGACUGAGACACGGCCCAGACUCCUACGGGAGGCAGCAGUGGGGAAUUUUGGACAAGUGGGGGCAACCCUGAUCCAGCCAUGCCGCGUGUGUGAAGAAGGCCU
Molecule: ribosomal RNA, 387 nt
Filed under: uncultured bacterium
Lineage: Bacteria
Description: bacterial SSU rRNA
Rfam family: Bacterial small subunit ribosomal RNA
Source: RNAcentral